UGGGGAAUCUUGGACAAUGGGGGCAACCCUGAUCCAGCCAUGCCGCGUGAGUGAUGAAGGCCUUAGGGUCGUAAAGCUCUUUCGCCUGUGAAGAUAAUGACGGUAGCAGGUAAAGAAACCCCGGCUAACUCCGUGCCAGCAGCCGCGGUAAUACGGAGGGGGUUAGCGUUGUUCGGAAUUACUGGGCGUAAAGCGCACGUAGGCGGACCAGAAAGUUGGGGGGUGAAAUCCCGGGGGCUCAACCCCGGAACUGCCUCCAAAACUAUUGGUCUAGAGUUCGAGAGAGGUGAGUGGAAUUCCAAGUGUAGAGGUGAAAAUUCGUAGAUAAUUUGGAGGAACACCAGUGGCGAAAGGCGGCUCACUGGCUCGAUACUGACGCUGAGGUGCGAAAAGUGUGGGGGAGCAAAACAGGAUUUAGAUACCCCUGGUAGUCCACACCGUAAAACGAUGAAUGCCAGUCGUCGGGUAGCAUGCUAUUCGGUGACACACCUAACGGAUUAAGCACUCCGCCUGGGGGAGUACGG
Molecule: ribosomal RNA, 524 nt
Filed under: uncultured bacterium
Lineage: Bacteria
Description: bacterial SSU rRNA
Rfam family: Bacterial small subunit ribosomal RNA
Source: RNAcentral